RNAcentral lists this long non-coding RNA (724 nucleotides) under Eucalyptus grandis. RNAcentral describes it as "long non-coding RNA (EGRA_LNC002081)". Lineage: Eukaryota; Viridiplantae; Streptophyta; Magnoliopsida; Myrtales; Myrtaceae. The record is from RNAcentral.
ACCUCCAUAAGGCGAGGCUGAGCGCAGACGGCUCUACUCCAGCCAAAAAUGAUAGAAUAAAAACAAAUCUCAGUCAAGCACUUAUGCAAAUAAGUGGAGUGCACUACUGGGACGAGGGGUUACUGACCCAAACCGGGACUCAAAUCUACAUCAGUGGCCUUAACGCACGACGUUCCACAAUACCAUAACAAAAUGCAAGGGCAACGUGGGCUAGAGCUUGUGCAAGCUGGACGGCCCCGAGCGCCAGUCCGGCGACACCCACAACAAAAUUAAACAAGGGACUCAAGGUAAAGAGACAAAAAGGGGCAUUCACGGCAGUGACCCUGACUGAAUUGGGGGCGCCGAAUGGAGGGCAAGCUCAAUAAAUCGUAUGAUGACCGGUCUCCUCGCACGCCCCCAAAAGAAAACAAUUGAAAAAAAUAAUAAUAAUAAAACGAGUCAAGACCUAUCAUGGCCAAUUGAAAAAAAUAAUAAUAAUAAAACGAGUCAAGACCUAUCAUGGCUUUGGCGUAGGAAAAGAAGCACAAUAGCGUGUUGUCGAUCGCGGCUUGGAUGUGACCUUUGCCCUGCUCCCGCCUUUGUUUUGCUUCGUAUUUUAUUUGCAGAGAUGCGAGGGAGAGGAAGACCAAUGUGUUGAUUGGGUCAAUGGGGAAAGGAAUGGGGCGUGCCCGUGCGGAGGGGAAAGAAGAGAAAAAAGGAGGCUGGGCGUGGGGAAGGGAGAUCG